CCCGCUAACAAAUUGAAAACUGUACCUAUACGCCUUAUUUUUAGUCACAGAUUUUUAGUAUUCGUAUUGUUAUCUUAGAAAGUCUUACUGAUUAAAAUACUACAAUAGGUAACAAUUUGACAAUUUAGUAGUGUCAACCCUGUGAUUAUGACCCGUGUAUAUAGCAUAUUAAUCCUGAAUACACCGUUUGGUGGUGCGCCUGUCAGAUGCGGAACGUACA
Molecule: long non-coding RNA, 220 nt
Filed under: Mytilus galloprovincialis (Mediterranean mussel)
Lineage: Eukaryota; Metazoa; Mollusca; Bivalvia; Mytilida; Mytilidae
Source: RNAcentral